RNAcentral lists this non-coding RNA (46 nucleotides) under Schistosoma haematobium. Lineage: Eukaryota; Metazoa; Platyhelminthes; Trematoda; Strigeidida; Schistosomatidae. The record is from RNAcentral.
AGACUGCUGAGGAGUCCCAUACCAGGACGAAACGGCCGUCCAGUGC